Molecule: ribosomal RNA, 253 nt
Filed under: uncultured bacterium
Lineage: Bacteria
Description: partial 16S ribosomal RNA
Rfam family: Bacterial small subunit ribosomal RNA
Source: RNAcentral
UACAGAGGUCUCAAGCGUUGUUCGGAUUCAUUGGGCGUAAAGGGUGCGUAGGCGGCGUGGUAAGUCGGGUGUGAAAUCUCGGAGCUUAACUCCGAAACUGCAUUCGAUACUGCCGUGCUUGAGGACUGGAGAGGAGACUGGAAUUUACGGUGUAGCGGUGAAAUGUGUAGAGAUCGGGAGGAACACCGGUGGCGAAGGCGGGUCUCUGGGCAUCUCCUGACGCUGAGGCGCGAAAGCGUGGGGAGCAAACGGG